Molecule: non-coding RNA, 162 nt
Organism: Pelobates cultripes (western spadefoot toad)
Lineage: Eukaryota; Metazoa; Chordata; Amphibia; Anura; Pelobatidae
Source: the annotation of a GenBank genome assembly
AAUACCGGCACUCUAGGAGUUUCCAAUCUUAAAUUUUCUUUUAUUCCAAAAAUGACGUUAACGUUUCAGCUCCCCGUGGAGCUUUCAUCAGAGCUAAAACGUUGACGUCGUUUUUGGAAUAAAAGAAAAUUUAAGAUUGGAAACUCCUAGAGUGCCGGUAUU